AUUGAACGCUGGCGGCAUGCUUUACACAUGCAAGUCGAGCGGCAGCGCGGGGGCAACCCUGGCGGCGAGCGGCGAACGGGUGAGUAAUGCAUCGGAACGUACCCUGGAGUGGGGGGAUAACGCCGCGAAAGCGGCGCUAAUACCGCAUAUGCUCUGAGGAGGAAAGUGGGGGACCCGCAAGGGCCUCAUGCUCUGGGAGCGGCCGAUGUCCGAUUAGCUAGUUGGUGAGGUAAAGGCUUACCAAGGCGACGAUCGGUAGCUGGUCUGAGAGGAUGAUCAGCCACACUGGGACUGAGACACGGCCCAGACUCCUACGGGAGGCAGCAGUGGGGAAUUUUGGACAAUGGGGGCAACCCUGAUCCAGCCAUGCCGCGUGAGUGAAGAAGGCCU
This 390-nucleotide ribosomal RNA is filed under the name uncultured bacterium. Its description in RNAcentral is "bacterial SSU rRNA". It matches the Rfam family "Bacterial small subunit ribosomal RNA", at positions 28 to 417 of the family's 1533-position model. The record is from RNAcentral.